CUGCUGAAGAGAUACCAUACACACAGUCUGUAGUUUACUGCCCUGCUGAAGAGAUACCAUACACACAGUCUGUAGUUUACUGCCCUGCUGAAGAGAUACCAUACACACAGUCUGUAGUUUACUGCCCUGCUGAAGAGAUACCAUACACACAGUCUGUAGUUUACUGCCCUGCUGAAGAGAUACCAUACACACAGUCUGUAGUUUACUGCCCUGCUGAAGAGAUACCAUACACACAGUCUGUAGUUUACUGCCCUGCUGAAGAGAUUCUUUAAAGCUGCAAUCAGCAGUUGAAACAAAAAACAAAGCCUUUUCCCCUCCACUGUUUUGCUAAAAAGCUGAGUAAUGGGGCCGGAGAAAUGUGACCACUCUCCAUUUCAUAGACAGAGCUGUAGAUACAAGGACUGAUUGUCUAAUACAACACCAUGAUAGUUUGAACCGUGUUCUGAGGCUAUUCACUUCCUUUGUUUAGGCAUAUUGGAGAAAAACAAGCUGAUAUUUUGAGUGUCACAGUUGACCUAAGCGCAUGAGGCAAUUUAUUUUACCUUUAUUUAACUGGGCGAGUCAGUUAAGAACAAACUCGUAUUUACAGUGACGGCCCAGGAACAGUGGGGUUAACUGCCUUUUUCAGGGGCAGAAAGACAGAUUUUUACCUCUUCAGCUUAGGGAUUCGAUCUAGCAACCUUUCGGUUACUGGCCCAACGCUCCAACCACUAGUUUACCUGCCACUGACCAGUUAUAUUCUUCAAGAAUCAAUGGAUACACCUGUAUAUCAUUCAUUUAUAAGUCCAAAAAUGGAUGUGUCUACUGCAGAUUGUCUCUCUAAGAUGAGGUGACAUGUUCUUCAGUAUAAACCUAAAGAGAGAUUCCACAGCUGUGAUUAGGAUGACUGUGCUGACGGAGGAUACAGGGGGAGACGAGGGAGGGGGGGCGAGGAGGUGUCCUAUUACCCAUGAUCCUCCUGUCUCAUCGCCAUCACUCAGGGUCUAGGUCUGUUGGUACAUGCCCUUCCUUCCUUCCCAGCGUCCCUCAUCCACAACGCUCCAAUUCACCUCUCAGCUGCCACUCAGCGGCUUUUAAACACAUUCUAACACACAUCAAAGGAACCACUUCUCCUUGAGGAGCUCAAACACUUCAGGAGACUCGGACCGCAGAAAAGGAGGAGGUCUGGGAGACUCUGACCGCAGGAAAGGAGGAGGUCUGGGAGACUCGGACCGCAGAAAAGGAGGAGGUCUGGGAGACUCUGACCGCAGGAAAGGAGGAGGUCUGGGAGACUCGGACCGCAGAAAAGGAGGAGAUCUGGGAGACUCGAACCGCAGAAAAGGAGGAGGUCUGGGAGACUCGGACCGCAGAAAAGGAGGAGGUCUGGGAGACUCGGACCGCAGAAAAGGAGGUCUGGGAGACUCGGACCGCAGAAAAGGAGGAGGUCUGGGAGACUCGGACCGCAGAAAAGGAGGAGGUCUGGGAGACUCGGACCGCAGAAAAGGAGGAGGUCUGGGAGACUCGGACCGCAGAAAAGGAGGUCUGGGAGACUCGGACCGCAGAAAAGGAGGUCUGGGAGACUCGGACCGCAGAAAAGGAGGAGGUCUGCUAUGGAUUCUUUAACAUCAGAAAUAGACGUUAAAAUGACAAGACUCUUGAAUACGGACACUGAAUCUUAGAGUGUUCAGUUUACCUUCAUGAUGAGUGCAAGAGCAGUAUUAAUUCAUAUUCACAAUGAUGACCAUGUUAUCUGAGGGUUAGUGCUAGUGUUAGGUUUAGGCUUAGGCUUAGGUUUAGGCUUAGGUCUAGGCUUAGGCUUAGGUUUAGGCUUAGGGAUAUGUGACGUCAAAGUUGUAAACUUUAUGAUGAGUGCAAGUGCAUAUUAAUUCAUAUUAACAAGGAUGACCAUGUUAUCUGAGGGUUAGUGCUAGUGUUAAGUUUAGGUUUAGGCUUAAGGUUAGGUUUAUUGUUAGGCUUAGGCUUAGGUUUAAGGUUAGGGUUAGGCUUAGGCUUAGGUUUAGGAUUAGGGUUAGGUUUAAGGUUAGGUUUAGGUUUAGGGUUAGGUUUAAGGUUAGGUUUAUUGUUAGGCUUAGGUUUAGGGUUAGGCUUAGGCUUAGGUUAAAGGUUAGGUUUAUUGUUAGGCUUAGGGUUAUGUGAUGUCUAAGUUGUAUAAUUGUGUAUAUUCUAUGAACUACUGCCAUUACAUAAUAACGAGGGUUGAUUGUUUCUGAGUGGUGUGAGCAGACCCCAGUGUGAGGUCGUGUAGAGUCGCCCCACAGGAGGCCAUCGUCCUGUAAUCAAUACCAAUCCAAACCAAUACUGGAUCAAUACCAGGACCACCUGAGAGACUCAACACACCACUGCCUUGUCAGUCCUUUAGUUCUGCUGCUUUAAUCAUCUGUCUACACCUGACGCUGUUUGUCUUUCUCACCACUGUCUGUCUGUCUGUCUGUCUGUCUGUCUGUCUGUCUGUCUGUCUGUCUGUCUGUCUGUCUGUCUGUCUGUCUGUCUGUCUGUCUGUCUGUCUGUCUGUCUGUCUGUCUGUCUGUCUGUCUGUCUGUCUGUCUGUCUGUCUGUCUGUCUGUCUGUCUGUCUGUCUGAUGGGGGUGGUAGCUCACCAGCAUCACUUCUGUCUGUCUGUCUGUCUGUCUGUCUGGUGGGGGUUGGUAACUGGCCAGCCUGCUCACACACUUCAAAGAUGCUGUUCUCUCUAUUAGAAUGGGUUACUGCUGUCUUGUCAAGGUGUGUUUUGCAUUAUGUCACCGAAUAACUAUUGUAGGUAAUAGUUAAAACUCAGUGGGGGCCCGCCCACAGGGCGCUAGGGGCGACGCUCCACUUGUGAUUGGUCCAAAAAAUAAAAUAAAAAAUAAUAGAAAAGUAUAUAUAUUAAGUAAUUAAUGGAUUAUGUUUUCAAUGUUCAUAAGAGUGUGAUGUAUGUGUACAUUUUCCUAUUUCAACAAUCUAUUGGUUAAAACAAUCUGUUUGGUUCCUUCCUACCCUGCCAGCAGCAGCAGCUCCGUGGGCUCACAGGCGCUGAAAACAUUUCAUGGCUUGUUUCACCAGUUAUUUACUCCGAGGGGGAACUUCCCCGGUGAUACGUUUUAACAGCACGAAGUAAACGGACCUUCCUGGAGCGUUCAAACGUCAGAACCAGAACCUCUGGGUCUAGUCUCCUUCCUGUGACGGCUCACCUCCUCAACUGAGACCAGGUCUGCUCUAGUCUCCUUCCUAUGACAGCUCACCUCCUCAACUGAGACUAGGUCUACUCGAGUCUCCUUCCUACGACAGCUCACUUCCUCAACUGAGACCAGGUCUGCUCUAGUCUCCUUCCUAUGACGGCUCACUUCCUCAACUGAGACCAGGUCUGCUCUAGUUUCUUUCCUAUGAUGGCUCACUUCCUCAACUGAGACCAGGUCUGCUCUAGUCUCCUUCCUAUGACGGCUCACUUCCUCAACUGAGACCAGGUCUGCUCUAGUCUCUUUCCUAUGACGGCUCACUUCCUCAACUGAGACUAGUUCUGCUCGAGUCUCCUUUCUAUGACGGCUCACUUCCUCAACUGAGACCAGGUCUGCUCUAGUCUCCUUCCUAUGACGGCUCACUUCCUCAACUGAGACCAGGUCUGCUCUAGUCUCCUUCCUAUGACGGCUCACUUCCUCAACUGAG
Molecule: long non-coding RNA, 3642 nt
Organism: Oncorhynchus tshawytscha (Chinook salmon)
Lineage: Eukaryota; Metazoa; Chordata; Actinopteri; Salmoniformes; Salmonidae
Source: Ensembl